This is a long non-coding RNA of Nothobranchius furzeri (turquoise killifish), 1332 nucleotides long. RefSeq lists it as uncharacterized. The record is from RefSeq and is a predicted model, not a curated record. NCBI's taxonomy places the organism in Eukaryota, Metazoa, Chordata, Actinopteri, Cyprinodontiformes, Nothobranchiidae.
UUCAAUUCUGGUCCUGGAGGGCUGCUAUCCAGCACGUUUUAGUGGUUUCUCUGCUCCAAUACACUUGAUUCAGUGGUUGAAUCACUUAUGCAGCAUCUCAUCAGGCUCUGCAAAAGCCUGUUAAUCACCUCCUGACUGAAAUCAGGUGUGUUGAUGCAGAGUUAAAACUAAAACCUGCUGGAUAGCGGACCUCCUGGCCCGGAAAUGAAUACCCCUGCUUUAUAAAAACGCAUUUAAUUGGAUAAGGAUCUAACGGUUUGGUUCUGACCAGCUGAGGGCAGAUCCAGCAUGGAAAAAGAGGACGUUCGGUCACCCGAGCGCAAUGAGGUCCAUGCUGAUUACACACCACGUCACCAAACAACACAGUGACUACCUGGAGCCCUAUAUACUGUACAGGCCCACUGACUGAUUACAAGACCGUAGACACCUGUGAUGCUAAUUAGUGGAAACACCCUAAAUUAGCAUGUCCCUUUGGUCACAUUAUUUUCUGUCUUUUCUAGGGGUACAAUCAUUUUUGUCCAAUUUAUUCUUCAAUAGAAGUUGAAUUGCAGUGACUUGGAUGGAACAGAUUUUACUGAGCAUGAUAAAGAAAUCCCUGAGCCUGAAACAUCUCAGCAGAUCUUUAUAGGUCACAUUUAUAGGAUUUACAACAGGAUGUUGGAGUUGAUUUUGGAGAUUCCUUUUUUCUCCAUGUCCAUUUCUCCUCUGUCAAUUUGGAUGGGCUUUGGAAAUGAGCUGCAGGAGAGAGAGCUUGCUCUUCCUCCAUUUACCACCACACCCCUUAAUGUCUCUGGUUUCAUCCUCAUCCCCAUUUAGUCUUGAGUCACAUCAAACUUAAUAACAUUAGGCUGAAUGUGACGGAUACUUGACCUUUUUAUUAGUCAUGGUAGAAAAUUCUGUCAAGACCACCAAGAAAAAAUAUCACAUCCUGCUCAAAAGUCAAAUUGAAAAGGCCUCCUUUGAAACUGUUUGGUUUUACUGGGUUAAUUGCAAAUUUAUUCAAAUAACAAAGAAAAAAUCUAUCUGUGCAACAAAUAUUUGCAAUCCAUCCAGCUGAUCGAAUGUUCCGCUUUUGUUGGAGCAAACAAAAGAACGCACAGGAAAAAAAUCAAGGCUUUUAAAGCCAAAAAUAGCAAUAAAGCAGUAGUUUUAUUGUAUUAUUGACUGUAAUGGAAAAUAGGCAGAGGAUAUUAAACAAAAUAGUCCUGUUCUGUUCUAUUUCCAAACAUUUGUUGGAGGGCCUCAGCAGAAAACAUCUGUUUGUGAUAUACAGUGCUAUGUGGUUUUAUAUGUUUUGGACACAUGCUGAAGUAAUAAAAAUGAUCCCUGGAA